RNAcentral lists this ribosomal RNA (917 nucleotides) under uncultured Bacillus sp. Its description in RNAcentral is "bacterial SSU rRNA". It matches the Rfam family "Bacterial small subunit ribosomal RNA", at positions 53 to 951 of the family's 1533-position model. The record is from RNAcentral. Lineage: Bacteria; Bacillati; Bacillota; Bacilli; Caryophanales; Bacillaceae.
ACAUGCAGUCGAGCGAUCUGAGGGAGCUUGCUCCCAAAGAUUAGCGGCGGACGGGUGAGUAACACGUGGGCAACCUGCCUGUAAGACUGGGAUAACUCCGGGAAACCGGGGCUAAUACCGGAUAAUAUCUAUUUAUACAUAUAAUUAGAUUGAAAGAUGGUUCUGCUAUCACUUACAGAUGGGCCCGCGGCGCAUUAGCUAGUUGGUGAGGUAACGGCUCACCAAGGCGACGAUGCGUAGCCGACCUGAGAGGGUGAUCGGCCACACUGGGACUGAGACACGGCCCAGACUCCUACGGGAGGCAGCAGUAGGGAAUCUUCCGCAAUGGACGAAAGUCUGACGGAGCAACGCCGCGUGAGUGAUGAAGGUUUUCGGAUCGUAAAACUCUGUUGUUAGGGAAGAACAAGUACCGGAGUAACUGCCGGUACCUUGACGGUACCUAACCAGAAAGCCACGGCUAACUACGUGCCAGCAGCCGCGGUAAUACGUAGGUGGCAAGCGUUGUCCGGAAUUAUUGGGCGUAAAGCGCGCGCAGGCGGUUCCUUAAGUCUGAUGUGAAAGCCCACGGCUCAACCGUGGAGGGUCAUUGGAAACUGGGGAACUUGAGUGCAGAAGAGGAAAGUGGAAUUCCAAGUGUAGCGGUGAAAUGCGUAGAGAUUUGGAGGAACACCAGUGGCGAAGGCGACUUUCUGGUCUGUAACUGACGCUGAGGCGCGAAAGCGUGGGGAGCAAACAGGAUUAGAUACCCUGGUAGUCCACGCCGUAAACGAUGAGUGCUAAGUGUUAGAGGGUUUCCGCCCUUUAGUGCUGCAGCAAACGCAUUAAGCACUCCGCCUGGGGAGUACGACCGGCAAGGUUGAAACUCAAAGGAAUUGACGGGGGCCCGCACAAGCGGGUGGGAGCAUUGUGGUUUAAUU